RNAcentral lists this long non-coding RNA (1167 nucleotides) under Podarcis muralis (Common wall lizard). Its description in RNAcentral is "lncRNA (ENSPMRG00000023248.1)". Lineage: Eukaryota; Metazoa; Chordata; Lepidosauria; Squamata; Lacertidae. The record is from RNAcentral.
AUGUUCUGGAAGUUGGGCAAUAGGGGCAGUACAGGAUUCCUACUGGUGUACCGACCUCCCCGCUGCACCAAGGAUUCCCUGCCCGAGCUGCUUCAGGUCGUGGCGGAUAUGCUCCUGGAGACACCUAGCUUGGUUGUCCUGGGGGAUUUUAACAUCCAUGCCGACACGACCUUACAAGGGGCCGCUCGGGACUUCGUGGAAAGCAUGGCCUCCAUGGGGCUGUCCCUGAAUAAGUUUGGCCCAACUCAUAGCCAUGGACAUGCCUUAGACUUGGUGUUCACCUCUAUGGAUGUUGGUGAUCUGACACUAACUAAAAGCGAAACAAAAGAAGUGCCAUGGUCAGAUCACUUCCUGGUGCAACUGGACUUCUCUGCAACCCUUCCCCUCUGCAGGGAGGUGGGACCGAUUCGGAUGGUCCGCCCCCGCCACUUAAUGGAUCCAAUUGGCUUCCAGAGAGUGGUGGGGGAUGCUUUAUCCCAAGUUGAUGGCCUUUCAGCUGAUUCCCUGGUGGCACGCUGGAAUGCGGAGUUAACCAGGGCUAUUGACUGUCUGGCUCCGAAGCACCCUCUCCGAUUGCAUGGAGCCCGGACAGCCCCGUGGUUUUCCCCGGAGCUGAGGGUGAUGAAACAAUCGUUGAGACGGCUAGAGCGCCGGUGGCGGAAAACUCAUUCUGAAUCAGACCGGACACGGGUUAGAGCUCAACGUCGAGCCUACCAAGUGGCAAUGGCGACGGCGAAGAGGGCCUUCUUCGCCGCCUCCAUUGCAUCUGCAGAAAACAGCAGCAGGAGACUUUUUCAGGUGGUUCGCAAUCUAUCGGAACCACCUGUACCACCGGGGCCUGGUAGGGACCCCAAGAUCUCCUGCAAUGCUUUUGCAAAGUUUUUUGCAGAUAAAAUCGCUCAGAUUCAGAAGGAGGUAGACUCCACCGUGGGAGCAGGGCCAGGGCGGGAGAGUGCUAGAGUUCUGUCUGGUCCUGUUACAUGGGAUCAAUUCCAGUCUGUUACCUCCGAGGAUGUGGACAGGCUGCUUGGAAAAGUGAAACCGACCACCUGUCUCCUUGAUCCUUGCCCAUCCUGGCUGAUAAAAGCGAGCCGGGAAGGGCUGGGCGAUGGGCUCUGCGGGGUGGUGAAUGCUUCCCUCUGUGAGGAGCCUUCCCAGACCCGCUGA